Molecule: long non-coding RNA, 4453 nt
Organism: Brassica rapa (field mustard)
Lineage: Eukaryota; Viridiplantae; Streptophyta; Magnoliopsida; Brassicales; Brassicaceae
Source: RefSeq, a predicted model, not a curated record
CUACUAUAUAUUAAUUGAAAAAUUAUUUAAGAGAUUUUUUCUUAUUUGUCGAUCAUUGAUGAAAUCUUUAAAAAAGUUAUAAAUUGAAUGGUCGAUAAUUUUUAAUUUAUAUUUAUUUUAAUUAGAUUUAAAAAGACAAAAAAAAUCUAUAAACAAUCAAUAUCACUUACCAAAUAAUUUACAUAAUAUUACAAAUAAUUAUUUAUGGUAACUAAUUGUUAAAACUAUAGAAAAAGUAAUGAUGUUUGAUCGAUUUUUAUAUUUAUAAACUACAUAAUAUAAUAAAAAAAAGUUUAUUAAAAUUGAUAGAAUAAUUUUAUAUUCUUAUAUAAAGCCUUAUAUUUGUAUUUAUAAACUAUAUAAAAUAUUUCAAAAAUAAUUUAUGGAAUUGAUAUAGCAUAUGUGAUUGGAUAUGUAUAUGUAGAGAAUCUGUUACAAUUAUAUUGUUUUAACUUUUUAAGCUUAUUAAAGACAUAAAACUUUAGCUAUAAAUUAUUUAAAAUCAAAAUUUUCAACAUUAUAUACCUUCAAAACCUAAAUAGUUUUAUUAAAAACUGAAUCUUGAAUAUUGUAUAUAACUAAUUUUAGUAAAAUUAUCAAAACAAAAUAUCAAAAAAUAUUUAAAAUAGUCAUAUUAUCUUUUUCAAAAAAAAUUUAUUCUUAGAAAAAUAUUUAAUAAGAAAAUACAUAAUGAUAAAAACAUAUUUUAAUUUGAAAGUUAUAAUAAAUAUAUUAUUAAAAAACAUUUAAUCCGUGAAAUCGUGGACAUCCACCUAGUAAAUAAUUAAAUACCAAGUUAAUGAAUAUAUGAAUAAAUCAAACAGUUUCGAAUGUAUUUGUCAAACCAAGCUAUUUGUCUGUUCUUCAUCCCAUCCCAUAUCGUAUUCUACUGGCAAUGUUCUUGCUUCAUAUAUUGAAUGGUGAAUAUAUUGUGAUAACAUAGUUUACAAAAAACAAAAUAUUUUGAUAACAUUAAAUAUGUAAACAGUAAUCUCAGAGAUUAUUUCCUAUAUAAAAUCGGAAUCUUUUUGUGUAUAAAUAAAUACCAAUGUAUUGAACAUGUAUAAUGUAUCUAGCAAGCUGUUAAUAAUUCUUUUUAUUUUAGCAUCAUUUACAAUAGUCUAAAACAAUAAUUUAUACAUAGAUACAGAAAAUUUUAAUUCUUAAAUUUAAAAUAUAUCUUGUUUUAAAAAGGUAAAAAAAAUAUGUCCAAAUUAAAGAUAAUUUUACUAUAUAUACAUAUUAGAUUUUAACUAUUAAUAUAGUUUAUACAUAGAUAGUAGUAUAUGAUAAGUAGAUGAUGAUAAAUAAAAUUUGAAUUGAAUUCAUGUAAGAAAAUAUAAUUUUAGAUUAAGAAUUUUUCAUUAUUAAAUGUUAAAGAAGUGUUAUAUAUUUUAAACAUUUGUAAGAUUGAUUGUAAACUUCGUAUUUAAUGGCUAAAUAGUUUGUAUUUUAUAUACCAAAGAUGAAGUUUUAUAUGUUUGCUUAUGAAUAUGCAAAAUAAAAUAUCUUAUCAUUUUUUAUUUCGGGUCAUCACAUUAGAAAAAAAAACAGAAUCAACUCUCUUUCACCAAAAAGUAAGAAUCAACUCUAAGAUUAGUUAUCCAAUUUGAUGCAAAACCUAUAAUGCUUUAUUUUGGCACAAAUUUUACAUUAGUGUAUCCCCAGAAACACAACGUUCUGAGUUGACCUCUAUGACAAGUGAGGUCGCAUAGAGGAAUAACGAAUCACGGCUUUACUCCGCGAAAUCGAACCAACGAACUUCCUAGGCAAGUUGCAAUAUUCGUGGAGUUGGAUUUUGAGUCGGCCACAGGUAAGGAGGUCAGGAUCAUUUAUAUGCUUUUGGAAGCUCGAUGUCGGCUAGACUGGGACAUAGAAUCAGCUCAAUUUUGUUUCAACAGUACCUAUAUAUGUGCUAACGAGGAUGGAUGCAGUUUCGAAAUUAAGAAUCGAGCAACAAGAAAAGGGAGAAGAUAUCGGAGGAGGCUAACGAUUAUAAAUAGUGUAUAAUAAGGGGAGGAGAACGGAAAAGAGGGGGACACAGACAUAUUGAUUCCCGCAUACACACAUAAUCACCUUUACCUCGAGCUCUAGUUCCCUCAACGCUUCGAACUUGUUUUAGAUCUUGUUCUUCAUUAGACUAGACGACUAGUCUUAUUUUUAUUCAAAAACACUUGUAAACUCGUUAAUAUCAUUAUACAAAUCUAUUUUAUUCUAAGGAUAAUAUUACCCAAAAGAUCUUGUUCUCUAAUUUACAAAUAAUAUUCUAAAAUAUCUAGUGUGGGUUUUAAGACUCACAACUGUCAAAGCCGUUCAGAACCUAAACAAUGAGAAUAUGCAACCAUCCUUAUUAGUUAUUUCGGUUUAUUUCAGAAUAUGUAGAGACUGACUUAAUUUGGUCAAAAUUUUACAACCCGAUUUAGCUUAAUGUAGAGGGAGAUAUCAAUAAGCAAAGGCUGAGAGGGACACAUAAGUACGGAAGACCAUAAAUCAUGUGGCCGUCACAUACGAACACAUAUGGUUUAAUUGUAAGCAAAGUUACUAAACACGUUUUCAUUUGUCGUUUUUCCCCCAACAAUUAUCUAGUUUUGGAGUGAACUUGUAGAAAAGGGCAUCUUAAUCAUUACAUAUGGAUGUAGACUAAGAAAAGAAUAUCAACCUUCAAGAAAGGUUAUCUCUUCAGAUAAGAAUAUGAAAUAUAAUAUCCCUAUAUUUAUGUCUUAUAAAAUGUAAAUAUAUUAGUCAGCGUUAAGGGUUCAAAUAGUCUAAACCUAUGGAUUAGGACAUGAACUUCAAGAUUAUAAAUGUAUAAUGCUAAAUAUAGCAUACUUAUAUAAUUACUAGCAUCAGACUAUAACUUGAUCUUUUCACUAUCAAAUAAAAGGAAUUCCAAGAUUGUAGUACACUUAAAACUUUUUAAAUCAGAUUUAUGAUACAUUUGUUAGUUUUUUUAUGUAAGCAAGAAAUUCUGGACCUUUAAUAUGUACUGUAUGGACCAAAGACCAGCUUCUAAUAAUAAUCGGAUUCGGUGAACUUUAAGACCCCUCUAACUAGUUGAGCAAACCACAUUUGUAGAAUACCUUUGUAAGUUAGUAUUUCUAAGUCUGGAACCAACUUUUAUUAAAUCGUAAAUUUCAUAAUCCUUAUCUAGAUGCACCAUGCAUCCUCAAGUAAAACACGCAUAGUCCAAGUGGAGAGACGAGCAGUGGAAAAAGGAGUUUUGGAAAACAAGUUACCAAUAAGCUACGCAGAUGAAAAUGAUUACAAUAAUAUAUAUGUAUAUAUAUUCGUUUUCUAAUAAUAAAUAAAAGAUAACAAUAAAAGAUAUUUGUUAAAUUGAUUGCCAUAAAACUAGAUGAAAAUGACCAGAUUAAGGAUUGCAUGUGGAUAAGAUUUGAAGGAUGAAAAUCGCAGAUUGGAGUAGGUGGAAGACUCAUCCUUUUCACGACCACCAGAAAUAAGAGAAGCUGAAAUAAAAUGAUUUUUUCUUCUAAUAAAAAUAUAUUCUCUUUUUAUUUUCUUUGAAGGGUCGACGAGUUUGGUUGAUAAUGAGUGUCGCAUUUUGUUCCCACACUGUACCAUUUGCAUGCCAUCAUCAUCUUUUCUUCAAACUCUUUUCUUAAGUAGAAUAAAUUAAUUAUACACAAAAGGUUUGCUUGCAAGGACUGCAAUGAACAUAAUUGCAUGUGGGAUCAACUUUGGUUUAGUUCGCUGAGUAUGAACGAUACGCAUUCUAUAUUUAGUGUUUAAAAUGGCUUAACGCAUAAUUAUAUGGUAGGACUACAUUUGCGUCUCAUUGUGCUUUAUUACUUUAAUAAAGUUAAUUAUUAUAAGUUAAAUAGAAAAAGAAAAAAACUCUAAAAGCAUAGUAAAAACAAUCUACAAUUCGUUAGAUCCGAAAAUUAGUAUUUGGGAAAACGAAUCACAUCCAGGCUCUGCUCGUUGAUCAAAUCGGAAAUCAUAGUAAAGACAAGACUUAACUCGUCUUCAUGUAGGUACUACUGACUUUGUCACCUCGCUCCAGGAGGUGCAUAAAUUGGUUGGUCGGAACUUGGAGACUACGGCCCUCGCCUAUAAGGAAUGAGCACACAAGCGCAAAUGUUUUGGAACGCAUAAAUGCCAAUGCGUGUCGGGUACAACUUCCCCCUCGUAUCAAUACAUCCAAUGUCUUCAGUGUUAAGUGCAUGUCUUUGUUCCGUGGUGACAAUGAGGUUCCAGAUUCAGGGAAGAAUCUUCUCCUACCCGGGGAGACUUGAUGCAGUGCAUCUAACCUUUAAACCGCCGGCUAUAACUUUUUUUUUGUAUCCAUCGAACCUGUUUGAUUUUAUUUCUUUAUAAAUAUGUUUGAGAUUAUUAAAGUGGCGACUCAAUGAAAUCCUCCGCCACAAGUUUCUAAAUUAGUUUGAUCUACAUUCAAGAUGAGUCCAGUUUUUCAGUCGUGAACAAAAUGAAA